AUACGGAGGGUCCCAGCGUUAUCCGGAAUCAUUGGGUUUAAAGGGUGCGCAGGCGGUUUAUUAAGUCAGUGGUGAAAUCUCGGGGCUCAACCUCGAAACUGCCAUUGAUACUGAUAAACUUGAGUUCAGUUGGAGUAGGCGGAAUGUGUAGUGUAGCGGUGAAAUGCUUAGAUAUUACACAGAACACCGAUAGCGAAGGCAGCUUACUAAACUGAUACUGACGCUGAGGCACGAAAGCGUGGGGAGCGAACAGGAUUAGAAACCCUAGUAGUCC
This 274-nucleotide ribosomal RNA is filed under the name uncultured bacterium. RNAcentral's name for it is "partial 16S ribosomal RNA". It matches the Rfam family "Bacterial small subunit ribosomal RNA", at positions 523 to 796 of the family's 1533-position model. The record is from RNAcentral.